Molecule: ribosomal RNA, 497 nt
Filed under: uncultured bacterium
Lineage: Bacteria
Description: partial 16S ribosomal RNA
Rfam family: Bacterial small subunit ribosomal RNA
Source: RNAcentral
GAUGAACGCUGGCGGCGUGCCUAAUACAUGCAAGUCGAGCGAACAGACGAGGAGCUUGCUCCUCUGACGUUAGCGGCGGACGGGUGUGUAACAUGUGGAUAACCUACCUAUAAGACUGGUAUCAUCUCGGGAAACCGGCGCUAAUACCGGAUAAUAUAUUGAACCGCAUGGUUUAAUAGUGAAAGACGGUUUUGCUGUAACUUAUAGAUGGAUCUGCGCUGCAUUUGAUAGUUGGGAAGGUAAAGGCUUACUAAGUCAACGAUGCGUAGCCGACUUGAGAGAGUGAUCGGCCACAUUAGAAGGUGACCACCGACCAUACUACUACGGGAGGCACCAGUAGGCAAUCUUCCGCAAUGGGCGAAAGCCUGACAGAGAAACGCCGCGUGAGUGAUGAAGGUCUUCGGAUCGUAAAACACUGUUAUUAGGUACGAACAAAUUUGUAAUAAACUAGGCACGUCGUGACGGUAACUAAUCAGGAAGCCACGGCUAACUACGUG